UUAAGCGACUAAGCGUACACGGUGGAUGCCCUGGCAGUCAGAGGCGAUGAAGGACGUGCUAAUCUGCGAUAAGCGUCGGUAAGGUGAUAUGAACCGUUAUAACCGGCGAUUUCCGAAUGGGGAAACCCAGUGUGAUUCGUCACACUAUCAUUAACUGAAUCCAUAGGUUAAUGAGGCGAACCGGGGGAACUGAAACAUCUAAGUACCCCGAGGAAAAGAAAUCAACCGAGAUUCCCCCAGUAGCGGCGAGCGAACGGGGAGCAGCCCAGAGCCUGAAUCAGUGUGUGUGUUAGUGGAAGCGUCUGGAAAGGCGCGCGAUACAGGGUGACAGCCCCGUACACAAAAAUGCACAUACUGUGAGCUCGAUGAGUAGGGCGGGACACGUGGUAUCCUGUCUGAAUAUGGGGGGACCAUCCUCCAAGGCUAAAUACUCCUGACUGACCGAUAGUGAACCAGUACCGUGAGGGAAAGGCGAAAAGAACCCCGGCGAGGGGAGUGAAAAAGAACCUGAAACCGUGUACGUACAAGCAGUGGGAGCACGCUUAGGCGUGUGACUGCGUACCUUUUGUAUAAUGGGUCAGCGACUUAUAUUCUGUAGCAAGGUUAACCGAAUAGGGGAGCCGAAGGGAAACCGAGUCUUAACUGGGCGUUAAGUUGCAGGGUAUAGACCCGAAACCCGGUGAUCUAGCCAUGGGCAGGUUGAAGGUUGGGUAACACUAACUGGAGGACCGAACCGACUAAUGUUGAAAAAUUAGCGGAUGACUUGUGGCUGGGGGUGAAAGGCCAAUCAAACCGGGAGAUAGCUGGUUCUCCCCGAAAGCUAUUUAGGUAGCGCCUCGUGAAUUCAUCUCCGGGGGUAGAGCACUGUUUCGGCAAGGGGGUCAUCCCGACUUACCAACCCGAUGCAAACUGCGAAUACCGGAGAAUGUUAUCACGGGAGACACACGGCGGGUGCUAACGUCCGUCGUGAAGAGGGAAACAACCCAGACCGCCAGCUAAGGUCCCAAAGUCAUGGUUAAGUGGGAAACGAUGUGGGAAGGCCCAGACAGCCAGGAUGUUGGCUUAGAAGCAGCCAUCAUUUAAAGAAAGCGUAAUAGCUCACUGGUCGAGUCGGCCUGCGCGGAAGAUGUAACGGGGCUAAACCAUGCACCGAAGCUGCGGCAGCGACACUAUGUGUUGUUGGGUAGGGGAGCGUUCUGUAAGCCUGUGAAGGUGUACUGUGAGGUAUGCUGGAGGUAUCAGAAGUGCGAAUGCUGACAUAAGUAACGAUAAAGCGGGUGAAAAGCCCGCUCGCCGGAAGACCAAGGGUUCCUGUCCAACGUUAAUCGGGGCAGGGUGAGUCGACCCCUAAGGCGAGGCCGAAAGGCGUAGUCGAUGGGAAACAGGUUAAUAUUCCUGUACUUGGUGUUACUGCGAAGGGGGGACGGAGAAGGCUAUGUUGGCCGGGCGACGGUUGUCCCGGUUUAAGCGUGUAGGCUGGUUUUCCAGGCAAAUCCGGAAAAUCAAGGCUGAGGCGUGAUGACGAGGCACUACGGUGCUGAAGCAACAAAUGCCCUGCUUCCAGGAAAAGCCUCUAAGCAUCAGGUAACAUCAAAUCGUACCCCAAACCGACACAGGUGGUCAGGUAGAGAAUACCAAGGCGCUUGAGAGAACUCGGGUGAAGGAACUAGGCAAAAUGGUGCCGUAACUUCGGGAGAAGGCACGCUGAUAUGUAGGUGAAGUCCCUCGCGGAUGGAGCUGAAAUCAGUCGAAGAUACCAGCUGGCUGCAACUGUUUAUUAAAAACACAGCACUGUGCAAACACGAAAGUGGACGUAUACGGUGUGACGCCUGCCCGGUGCCGGAAGGUUAAUUGAUGGGGUUAGCGCAAGCGAAGCUCUUGAUCGAAGCCCCGGUAAACGGCGGCCGUAACUAUAACGGUCCUAAGGUAGCGAAAUUCCUUGUCGGGUAAGUUCCGACCUGCACGAAUGGCGUAAUGAUGGCCAGGCUGUCUCCACCCGAGACUCAGUGAAAUUGAACUCGCUGUGAAGAUGCAGUGUACCCGCGGCAAGACGGAAAGACCCCGUGAACCUUUACUAUAGCUUGACACUGAACAUUGAGCCUUGAUGUGUAGGAUAGGUGGGAGGCUUUGAAGUGUGGACGCCAGUCUGCAUGGAGCCGACCUUGAAAUACCACCCUUUAAUGUUUGAUGUUCUAACGUUGACCCGUGAUCCGGGUUGCGGACAGUGUCUGGUGGGUAGUUUGACUGGGGCGGUCUCCUCCUAAAGAGUAACGGAGGAGCACGAAGGUUGGCUAAUCCUGGUCGGACAUCAGGAGGUUAGUGCAAUGGCAUAAGCCAGCUUGACUGCGAGCGUGACGGCGCGAGCAGGUGCGAAAGCAGGUCAUAGUGAUCCGGUGGUUCUGAAUGGAAGGGCCAUCGCUCAACGGAUAAAAGGUACUCCGGGGAUAACAGGCUGAUACCGCCCAAGAGUUCAUAUCGACGGCGGUGUUUGGCACCUCGAUGUCGGCUCAUCACAUCCUGGGGCUGAAGUAGGUCCCAAGGGUAUGGCUGUUCGCCAUUUAAAGUGGUACGCGAGCUGGGUUUAGAACGUCGUGAGACAGUUCGGUCCCUAUCUGCCGUGGGCGCUGGAGAACUGAGGGGGGCUGCUCCUAGUACGAGAGGACCGGAGUGGACGCAUCACUGGUGUUCGGGUUGUCAUGCCAAUGGCACUGCCCGGUAGCUAAAUGCGGAAGAGAUAAGUGCUGAAAGCAUCUAAGCACGAAACUUGCCCCGAGAUGAGUUCUCCCUGACUCCUUGAGAGUCCUGAAGGAACGUUGAAGACGACGACGUUGAUAGGCCGGGUGUGUAAGCGCAGCGAUGCGUUGAGCUAACCGGUACUAAUGAACCGUGAGGCUUAACCUU
RNAcentral lists this ribosomal RNA (2901 nucleotides) under Escherichia coli. RNAcentral's name for it is "bacterial LSU rRNA". It matches the Rfam family "Bacterial large subunit ribosomal RNA". The record is from RNAcentral. Lineage: Bacteria; Pseudomonadati; Pseudomonadota; Gammaproteobacteria; Enterobacterales; Enterobacteriaceae.